AACGAACGCUGGUGGCGUGCUUAACACAUGCAAGUCGAACGAGAAAGUUUCCUUCGGGAAAUUAGUAAAGUGGCGCAAGGGUGAGUAACACGUGAAUAAUCUGCCCUCGAGAUUGGGAUAACAUGGUGAAAACUAUGCUAAUACCGAAUAAGACCACAUUUCAUAAGAAAUGCGGAAAAAGAAGUCUCAACCUUCACUUGAGGAUGAGUUCGCGGAACAUUAGCUUGUUGGUGAGAUAAAAGCUCACCAAGGCUACGAUGUUUAGCCGGCCUGAGAGGGUGAUCGGCCACACUGGAACUGAGACACGGUCCAGACUCCUACGGGAGGCAGCAGUGGGGAAUAUUGCGCAAUGGGCGAAAAGCCUGACGCAGCAACGCCGUGUGAGCGAUG
Molecule: ribosomal RNA, 390 nt
Filed under: uncultured Nitrospina sp.
Lineage: Bacteria; Pseudomonadati; Nitrospinota; Nitrospinia; Nitrospinales; Nitrospinaceae
Description: bacterial SSU rRNA
Rfam family: Bacterial small subunit ribosomal RNA
Source: RNAcentral